Molecule: ribosomal RNA, 447 nt
Filed under: uncultured bacterium
Lineage: Bacteria
Description: SSU rRNA
Rfam family: Bacterial small subunit ribosomal RNA
Source: RNAcentral
AGAACGAACGCUGGCGGCAGGCCUAAUACAUGCAAGUCGAACGGAUGUAGCAAUACAUUAGUGGCGCACGGGAGAGUAACGCGUGGGAACCUACCCUUUAGUUUGGGAUAACGUCGGGAAACUGACGCUAAUACCGAAUGACCCCUCCGGGGGAAAGAUUUAUCGCUAAAGGACGGGCCCGCGUAAGAUUAGCUAGUUGGUGAGGUAAUGGCUCACCAAGGCGACGAUCUUUAACUGGUCUGAGAGGAUGACCAGUCUCACUGGGACUGAGACACGGCCCAGACUCCUACGGGAGGCAGCAGUAGGGAAUAUUGGACAAUGGGGCAACCCUGAUCCAGCCAUGCCGCGUGAACGAUGAAGGCCUUCGGGUUGUAAAGUUCUUUUGGUGGGGACGAUGAUGACGGUACCCACAGAAUAAGCACCGGCUAACUUCGUGCCAGCAGCCGC